AUACGUAGGGGGCGAGCGUUGUCCGGAUUUAUUGGGCGUAAAGGGUGCGUAGGCGGCCUUGUAGGUCAGAUGUGAAAGAUCAUGGCUUAACUGUGGUAAGCAUUUGAAACUGCAGGGCUUGAGUACAGGAGAGGAGAGUGGAAUUCCUAGUGUAGCGGUGAAAUGCGUAGAUAUUAGGAGGAAUACCAGUGGCGAAGGCGACUCUCUGGACUGAUACUGACGCUGAGGCACGAAAGCGUGGGGAGCAAACAGGAUUAGAUACCCUGGUAGUCCACGCUAUAAACGAUGAGUGCUAGGUGUCGGGGGUCAAACCUCGGUGCCGCAGUUAACACAUUAAGCACUCCGCCUGGGGAGUACGGCCGCAAGGCUGAAACUCAAAGGAAUUGACGGGG
RNAcentral lists this ribosomal RNA (392 nucleotides) under uncultured bacterium. Its description in RNAcentral is "partial 16S ribosomal RNA". It matches the Rfam family "Bacterial small subunit ribosomal RNA", at positions 523 to 918 of the family's 1533-position model. The record is from RNAcentral.